Molecule: unclassified non-coding RNA, 220 nt
Filed under: uncultured fungus
Lineage: Eukaryota; Fungi
Description: sequence contains ITS1
Source: RNAcentral
GUAUUAAAAUGCGUUUAUAGCAAGUGUUACAUUCUGAGACUGACGUAGUGUAUGAAAAAACAUAGUAAGGCUCGACGCCCGGUGGUCUAAUCGAGCCAGACUACCAAAGGUGCACAGGUGUUGAUGGAGCGAGCCGGGCGUGCACAUGCCUCCCGUAGGAGGCCAGCGACAGCCCGUUUCAAACUCGGUAAUGAUCCUUCCGCAGGUUCACCUACGGAAA